UACAGUUUAUCGGGGGCAAGCCUUUAUUGAAACUAAUCUUCAGGUGAACCUACAGAAAUGAAAAUUGACAUUCAUAGUCACAUUCUGCCUAAGGAGUGGCCUGAUCUAAAACAGAGAUAUGGCUAUGGUGGAUGGAUUCAGCUGGAGGAACACUGUGAGAGGGAAGCCAAAAUGAUGAAAGAUGGGAAACUUUUCAGAGUUAUCCAAGAGAACUGUUGGGAUCCAGAGGUUCGGAUUAAACAGAUGGACCAAUCAGGAGUCACUGUCCAGGCCCUUUCUACAGUUCCUGUCAUGUUUAGUUAUUGGGCCAAACCACAGGAUACUCUAGACCUGUGCCAAUUUUUAAAUAAUGACUUAGCCACUACUGUGAAGAAGUUCCCAAAGAGGUUUGUUGGCCUUGGCACCCUCCCCAUGCAAGCUCCAGACCUGGCUGUGAAGGAAUUGCAUCGUUGUGUGAAAGAGCUUGGAUUUCCUGGUGUGCAGAUAGGAUCUCAUAUCAACAACUGGAACCUAAAUGCCCCAGAACUCUUUUCAGUCUAUGCUGCUGCUGAACAAUUAAACUGCUGCCUCUUUGUGCAUCCCUGGGACAUGCAGACAGAUGGAAGGAUGUCUAAAUACUGGCUUCCCUGGCUUGUAGGAAUGCCCUCGGAAACAACCAUCGCUAUUUGCUCCAUGAUUAUGGGAGGGGUAUUUGAAAUUUUUCCCAAGCUAAGAGUUUGCUUUGCCCAUGGAGGUGGCUCUUUCCCUUAUACAGUGGGGCGCAUUUCCCAUGGAUUCAACGUGCGGCCUGACUUGUGUGCAGUGGAUAAUAACAUUGAUCCAAAGAAAUACCUUGGUUCAUUCUACACAGAUUCACUUGUUCAUGAUGCAUGUGCACUGAAGAUGCUAACGGAUGUAAUAGGAAAGGUGAGUGAGAUGGUGUUUAGCUAAAGACUGCAAGUAAGCUCUCUCUUUCACUUGAGUCUUUCGCACUGAAGAGCAAACUAGAUGUGAUGUAAAUAGUACCGUAGGCAUAGCCCCCCAUCCUAAUAUGGAUUGGGACCAUGACAGAUAGUGAGGGGUGGGGGUGGGGCUUUAAUCCUUUGGGCCCUGCUAUGGUCCCAGUUUGGAAAGGGCCCCCAUAUCUGAUAUUUGCCUUAGUAGAAAAGCUCCUGUUGGUGCAAAUGGGAAUUUGUCACCCUCUCUCUAACAUGCUCCAGUCUUUUAACUCUUCCACUUUCCAGGUUGGAAGGUGGGUUAGAAGGAAGAUUCAGCAUUAGGGCAUGCUGGAGAGAAAAUGGUGGCAUUUUGCUGGUGCUUUUCAAGGUUGCCCUUCCUAUUCUCUUCCCUAAUUCUGAGAUCACAAAGAUGAGAAGUGAUACUUGAACAUGCCAGCAGUCCACUUGAUCUAGAGCCUGGCCUUUUGACCUGUUCUGUCCUUAUUCACCAAUAAAAACCUAGUUGUUGAUACUUAAUAAAUCCAUUUGAUUGAUCCAGUUCCUCCUUUUUUACUUGCUGAGUAUUUUACCAGCAAACAAUGCUAAAAAUAAAACACAUCAACAAUGAUAUUAACAAAAGCUGAUACAGCAUGGAUUAAUCUAGCUCUUUAACUGUGGCUAAUUAUUGCUUAAGCACUAGGCUCUUGGAGAUUUGACACUGUCUGACUUUUAUACAGUCAGGUAGGAGAUGAUGAGGCACCACUGAUCACACUCCAACAAAUUGUAUCUGAAUUGUUUUAAUUUUGAAGGUUAUUUUAAUAUUCAAGAGCUUUGUGAGUCUUUUCCCCAGUGGAAUCAAUGCAACUUUCAGAAAAUCUCCAGAUGCUGUGGACUGUCUCUCAUAAAAUUUUCCACAUUUACUUCUAUCUCUCACUGAUGAAUUUAUACAGCUAGCUGGAAUGAAAUUAGAUACCUUCCACAUUCAGUAUCUGAGCACACAAUCAAAACUUAUGCAGGCCAUUGCAAAGAAAGAAAUCAUCAGCUGUCCUGAGCACACCCAGCCCAAGGAGGACAAAUGGCUAAGCAGCUGGAGCCCCUCCUUGAGCUUAUGCUCUGGACUGGACUGAUGGAGUAGUGGGUGGCCAGCCCUCAGCCCCAUACUUAAGUAUCCUCCUCUAACAGCACAAAGGCAAACAACCUGUGACUCCUUCAACACAGGAGUUGUCACUGUGCCUGUCUCCUCAAGCCCCUCCUGGUCCUGGGAGACAGCAGGGGAGGAGACAGAGGGGAUUCUGAUAGCUCCCUCCCUUUAAGCACCAUUUAUCCCUCAGCUUCUGGUACAUUCUGUCCUUCCUCCCUUGCUCCUGUCUCAUGGAAGGUGCAAAACUCAUAUAUCACUACUGACUUCCUGUGACAUCAGCUUUUGGCCCCGACACCUCUUCCACCCAUGCCUAUAUCUGCAACCCUCCUACCAACCCAGCAGUUUGAAAGCAUACCAGUGUAAGUAGAUAAAUAGGUAUCUAUGCAACCAUAGGGUCCAGGAAGGCCACAUUGACCUAUCAGCUCAAGCAGAGGGCCUGGUAAGAUAUGGCAGGGCAGCACCAUUAUGUAUAAAGCAGGGCCAGGCGAAGGUAAUGUUUUACAUCAAAAAUAGCGCACAGCUAAGGGGAAAUGAAUUCCCUCCCCUCAAGCCAGUUUGUGCAGACACCCAUAUCACUUUUAUCCAGGUAUGAGGACUGUCACCUCAUUUGUAACCCUCACCUCCCCAAAAGGCACUGAUUACCCGCAUGCAUUUUGGCCCCAUGCUGGAUAUGAUAUCAGACUAUGAGAAAAGUGGCUAUGAAACAGAAUGUGGAGACCUAAGUUACACAUUCUCUUCCUUUUAACCCAACAGGGUGUAAUUUGUUUCUCUAUUGACCUUCACUGAACUUUUAGCAACCAUGUAAGGCAAUGACUUUUGAAAGUAACAAUAUUUUCCAGCACCCUGUCUGCUCUGAUAACUGUUUCUAGAACAUCAGCACUCGGGUGGUGGAUUUGUUAUUCUGAGCAUUACGGUAUACGUUAUGAUAUAUGUUACCAUAAAACACAGUUCCAAGCUUAGAAUCUUAAGAGAAAGAGCAUCUGAAGUCCCUAAGGGCAUGUACUUUACGUAUACUUCACAUGUCAGAUUUUUUUACUUUAUACUGUACAUGGUUUAUACUGUACAUGGCUGUAUAUACCGUAGUAGACACAUGUAAGAGAUCUUGGCCAAUCACAGAUUUCCAGAACCUUUGUGCCCAAUAUUUCCUUUGUCAUCUAUGGCAUACAUCUCUUCCUUCAUACUUUACAAUAGCUUCCAAAAGACACAAGGCAGAUUGCAGUGGGCCUGUGCUUUGACAUAGCUGUGUUAAGAUUGAAGUGUAUAUUUCAGAAACCCCAUAGUGACACCUACUGGAGACAUUUUGCAGAGGGGAAAAUAUUUUUGUACAGAGCCUCCAGAAUUUCCUCCAAAAUCAAUGCUUUGGAUAUUUGUUCUGAUAUCAGUGACUGUAUUGUUUGUUUUUUCUAAGAUGUGUUUAUAACAUAUGUCUGUCUUCCUUUCUUCAAGGAACUCAAAAUGGCAUAAAUAAGGAAAUCUCAUUUUAUUAACCCUGUGAGGCAGGUUAGGCUCAGUGGCAGUACGUACUUGGAGCACCACAAAGACAACUCAACACUGAGUAAAUGUGAUAUCUAAAAGAAGCAGGGACAAAGUGAUGCUGGGAACAGAUUAUCCAUUUCCACUGGGAGAACAUGAACCUGGAAAACUUAUUGAAUCUAUGGAGUUUGAUGAUGAACUAAAG
This is a non-coding RNA of Zootoca vivipara (common lizard), 3736 nucleotides long. Lineage: Eukaryota; Metazoa; Chordata; Lepidosauria; Squamata; Lacertidae. The record is from RefSeq and is a predicted model, not a curated record.